This 998-nucleotide long non-coding RNA is filed under the name Salmo salar (Atlantic salmon). RNAcentral's name for it is "lncRNA (ENSSSAG00000088348.1)". The record is from RNAcentral. Lineage: Eukaryota; Metazoa; Chordata; Actinopteri; Salmoniformes; Salmonidae.
AUUUUUUAAAAUAUUAUUAUUUAAUAUAUUUCACAUGUGACAAGGCCAGCGAGAGGGCCAGAGAUAAUAACAGACACCUGUGAUAUCUGAAAUACCCCAAAGGGCCACUAGAUGUCUGGUGAUAAAUGACAUAAAAUCCUUGAAAGAUACCAAAAUUCUGGUAGGUUACUGGCAAAAUGUGAAUGUUUCCGGUAAUAUACCCUCCAUUUGCAACCUUAACUGUACUUGCUUGGCAAGACCUUCUUGGGAUGCUUGUGGUGUAGUGUGUGGUGAGAGGUGGUAUGAUGGUAGUACUAUGAUGUCAGUAGUAGAGAUGUGUAGUGAGACAUGGUAUGAUGGUAGUACUAUGAUGUCAGUAGUAGAGAUGUGUAGUGAGAGAUGGUAUGAUGGUAGUACUAUGAUGUCAGUAGUAGAGAUGUGUAGUGAGACAUGGUAUGAUGGUAGUACUAUGAUAGGUAGUAGAGAUGUGUAGUGAGACAUGGUAUGAUGGUAGUACUAUGAUAGGUCAGUAGUAGAGAUGUGUAGUGAGAGAUGGUAUGAUGGUAGUACUAUGAUGUCAGUAGUAGAGAUGUGUAGUGAGACAUGGUAUGAUGGUAGUACUAUGAUAGGUCAGUAGUAGAGAUGUGUAGUGAGACAUGGUAUGAUGGUAGUACUAUGAUAGGUAGUAGAGAUGUGUAGUGAGACGUGGUAUGAUGGUAGUACUAUGAUAGGUCAGGUGGAUUUAUGCUGUUUAUAAAGCCUCUGCUGAAAUAAGGAACUUGACUGUUUCAGAAGGAAGAUAGGAUGUUAUGUUCUGGUGCUCUGGCCUGGCCUCAGCCCAGUUUAAACUGUCUGGUGUGUUGAUAGACAUGUUUGACAAAAAGCAUAGUUACAUAGAUAUAUGUGUGUGUGUAUACUUAUCUUGUUUAAACUUGAGAUGAGGUUGUCCCCACCAGCCUUUUGUAAUUAUGUUGUUUUGUUUCUGUGUGUGUGUGUGUGUGUGUGUGUGUGUGUGUGUG